AAAAUUGUGGCAAUAACAAACGAC
RNAcentral lists this non-coding RNA (24 nucleotides) under Cricetulus griseus (Chinese hamster). The record is from RNAcentral. Lineage: Eukaryota; Metazoa; Chordata; Mammalia; Rodentia; Cricetidae.